UACGGUGACGAUCGCAAGAAGGUACCACCUGUUCCCAUCCCGAACACAGUCGUUAAGCUUCUGAGCGCCGAGGAUAGUGAGGGGUUUCCCCUUGUGAAAGCCGGACGUUGCCG
Molecule: ribosomal RNA, 113 nt
Filed under: Allofustis seminis
Lineage: Bacteria; Bacillati; Bacillota; Bacilli; Lactobacillales; Carnobacteriaceae
Source: RNAcentral